Molecule: ribosomal RNA, 352 nt
Filed under: uncultured bacterium
Lineage: Bacteria
Description: partial 16S ribosomal RNA
Rfam family: Bacterial small subunit ribosomal RNA
Source: RNAcentral
CCUACGGGUGGCAGCAGUGAGGAAUAUUGGUCAAUGGGCGUAAGCCUGAACCAGCCAAGUCGCGUGAGGGAUGAAGGUUCUAUGGAUCGUAAACUUCUUUUAUAAGGGAAUAAAGUGCGGGACGAGUCCCGUUUUGUAUGUACCCUAUGAAUAAGGAUGGGCUCACUCCGUGCCAGCAGCCGCGGUAAUACGGGGGAUCCGUGCGUUAUCCGGAGUUAUUGGGUUUAAAGGGUGCGUAGGGGGCCUUUACGUCAGCGGUGAAAGGUUUGGGGUGAACCAUGGAAGUGGCUUUGAAAAUGGGAGGCUUGAGUGUGUGUGAGGGAGGCGGAAUGCGUGGGGUAGCGGUGAGAUG